This 402-nucleotide ribosomal RNA is filed under the name uncultured bacterium. RNAcentral describes it as "bacterial SSU rRNA". It matches the Rfam family "Bacterial small subunit ribosomal RNA", at positions 28 to 419 of the family's 1533-position model. The record is from RNAcentral.
GACGAACGCUGGCGGCGUGCUUAACACAUGCAAGUCGAGGGCAUCAGGAGGAGCAAUCUUUCUGGUGACCGGCGAACGGGUGCGUAACACGUGAGCGACCUACCCUGGUGUGGGGGAUAGCCGGCCCAACGGCCGGGUAAGACCGCAUACGCUUGUUGGAGUACCUGCUCUGGCAAGGAAAACCUGGGGCAACCCAGGUGCACCGGGAGGGGCUCGCGGCCUAUCAGCUUGUUGGCGGGGUAAUGGCCCACCAAGGCGAUGACGGGUAGCUGGUCUGAGAGGAUGGCCAGCCGCAUUGGGACUGCGAGACGGCCCAGACUCCUACGGGAGGCAGCAGUGGGGAAUCUUGCGCAAUGGGCGGAAGCCUGACGCAGCGACGCCGCGUGGAGGAGGAAGCCCUUC